AGAUUAGCCCUGCAUGUCUAAGUAUAAGCAAUCUAUACUGUGAAACUGCGAAUGGCUCAUUAAAUCAGUUAUCGUUUAUUUGAUAGUACCUUACUACUGGGAUAACCGUGGUAAUUCUAGAGCUAAUACAUGCUAAAAACCCCGACUUCGGAAGGGGUGUAUUUAUUAGAUAAAAAACCAAUGCCCUUCGGGGCUCCUUGGUGAAUCAUGAUAACUUAACGAAUCGCAUGGCCUUGCGCCGGCGAUGGUUCAUUCAAAUUUCUGCCCUAUCAACUUUCGAUUGUAGGAUAGUGGCCUACAAUGGUUUCAACGGGUAACGGGGAAUUAGGGUUCUAUUCCGGAGAGGGAGCCUGAGAAACGGCUACCACAUCCAAGGAAGGCAGCAGGCGCGCAAAUUACCCAAUCCCGAUACGGGGAGGUAGUGACAAUAAAUACUGAUACAGGGCUCUUUUGGGUCUUGUAAUUGGAAUGAGUACAAUUUAAAUACCUUAACGAGGAACAAUUGGAGGGCAAGUCUGGUGCCAGCAGCCGCGGUAAUUCCAGCUCCAAUAGCGUAUAUUAAAGUUGUUGCAGUUAAAAAGCUCGUAGUUGAACCUUGGGCCUGGCUGGCCGGUCUGCCUCACCGCAUGUACUGGUUCGGCCGGGUCUUUCCUCCUGGGGAUCCGCAUGCCCUUCACUGGGUGUGUUGGGGAACCAGGACUUUUACUUUGAAAAAAUUAGAGUGUUCAAAGCAGGCCUUUGCUCGAAUACAUUAGCAUGGAAUAAUAGAAUAGGACGUGCGGUCCUAUUUUGUUGGUUUCUAGGACCGCCGUAAUGAUUAAUAGGGAUAGUCGGGGGCAUCAGUAUUCAGUUGUCAGAGGUGAAAUUCUUGGAUUUACUGAAGACUAACUACUGCGAAAGCAUUUGCCAAGGAUGUUUUCAUUAAUCAGUGAACGAAAGUUAGGGGAUCGAAGACGAUCAGAUACCGUCGUAGUCUUAACCGUAAACUAUGCCGACUAGGGAUCGGGCGAUGUUAUUCUUUUGACUCGCUCGGCACCUUACGAGAAAUCAAAGUCUUGGUUCGGGGGAGAUGCACCCUAAUGGGAGGCAAAUUUCC
Molecule: ribosomal RNA, 1096 nt
Filed under: Lasiodiplodia theobromae
Lineage: Eukaryota; Fungi; Ascomycota; Dothideomycetes; Botryosphaeriales; Botryosphaeriaceae
Description: SSU rRNA
Rfam family: Eukaryotic small subunit ribosomal RNA
Source: RNAcentral